Molecule: small RNA, 214 nt
Filed under: Pan troglodytes (chimpanzee)
Lineage: Eukaryota; Metazoa; Chordata; Mammalia; Primates; Hominidae
Description: processed transcript
Source: RNAcentral
AUGGCUUGCCUUGGAUUUCAGCGGCACAAGGCUCAGCUGAACCUGGCUACCAGGACCUGGCCCUGCACUCUCCUGUUUUUUCUUCUCUUCAUCCCUGUCUUCUGCAAAGCUAAAGAAAAGAAGCCCUCUUACAACAGGGGUCUAUGUGAAAAUGCCCCCAACAGAGCCAGAAUGUGAAAAGCAAUUUCAGCCUUAUUUUAUUCCCAUCAAUUGA